GGACCCGCACAAGCGGUGGAGCAUGUGGUUUAAUUCGAAGCAACGCGAAGAACCUUACCAAAUCUUGACAUCCUCUGACUCCUCUAGAGAUAGAGUUUUCCCCUUCGGGGGACAGAGUGACAGGUGGUGCAUGGUUGUCGUCAGCUCGUGUCGUGAGAUGUUGGGUUAAGUCCCGCAACGAGCGCAACCCUUAAGCUUAGUUGCCAUCAUUAAGUUGGGCACUCUAAGUUGACUGCCGGUGACAAACCGGAGGAAGGUGGGGAUGACGUCAAAUCAUCAUGCCCCUUAUGAUUUGGGCUACACACGUGCUACAAUGGACAAUACAAAGGGCAGCGAAACCGCGAGGUCAAGCAAAUCCCAUAAAGUUGUUCUCAGUUCGGAUUGUAGUCUGCAACUCGACUAUAUGAAGCUGGAAUCGCUAGUAA
This 425-nucleotide ribosomal RNA is filed under the name uncultured bacterium. RNAcentral describes it as "bacterial SSU rRNA". It matches the Rfam family "Bacterial small subunit ribosomal RNA", at positions 917 to 1341 of the family's 1533-position model. The record is from RNAcentral.